Xyrichtys novacula (pearly razorfish) is the source of this 1188-nucleotide non-coding RNA. NCBI's taxonomy places the organism in Eukaryota, Metazoa, Chordata, Actinopteri, Labriformes, Labridae. The record is from the annotation of a GenBank genome assembly.
CUGGAAAAAAAAUCAAAGUUCUAUUUAAAUGUAUUAACACUCGUCUUAUAUUUCUGUUUAUAUGAUGAUACAUGUAUAUGAUACAUGUUUAUCAAAAAAUAUUAAAUACAAAAAUACAGAGUUGUCGGAUACAUUUGAUUAAAUAUGUAAAUAUAAAUAAUCCUUUUAAUAUUUUAAUAGAUAAGAAAUAAAAUCAAACAGCAAUUAUCUGGAAACACCAUCUGCAAGUCUGAUUAUUCAGCUGACCAAUUAACAAAAAUCUUGUACAGAGCUUUUUUUCAAGAUUAUGUUUAAUUCUGUUUCAAAAGCAGCAUUUGGCUAGGGUUAGGGUUAUGGUUGGGGCUAGGGUUAGGGUUAGGGUUAGGGUUAUGGUUGGGGCUAGGGUUAGGGUUAGGGUUCGAGCUAGGGUUAGGGUUAGGGUUAUGGUUGGAGCUAGGGUUAGGGUUAGGAUUAGAGUUGGAGCUAGGGUUAGGGUUUGAGCUAGGGUUAGGGUUAGGGUUAUGGUUGGGGCUAGGGUUAGGGUUACGGUUAGUGUUAGAGUUGGAGCUGGGAUUAGGGUUAGGGUUGGAGGUAGGGUUAGGGUUACGGGUUAGGGUUAGGGUUAGUGUUGGAGCUAGGGUUAGGGUUGGGGUUAGGGUCAGUGUUAGUGUUCGAGUUGGUGCUGGGGUUAGGGUUAGGAUUAGAGUUGGAGCUAGGGCUAGGGUUAGAGUUAGGGUUGGAGCUAGGGUUAGGGUUAUGGUUGGGGCUAGGGUUAGGGUUGGAGCUAGGGUUAGGGUUAUGGUUGGAGCUAGGGUUAGGGUUAGGGUUAGGUUUGGAGCUAGGGUUAGGGUUAGGUUAGAGUUGGAGCUAGGGUUAGGGUUAUGGUUGCAGCUAGGGUUAGGGUUAGGGUUGUAGCUAGGGUUAGGUUUAGAGUUAGGGUUAGGGUUAGAGUUGGAGCUAGGGUUAGGGUUGGGGUUAUGGUUGGAGCUAGGGUUAGGGUUGGGGUUAGGGGUUAGGGUUAGGGUUAGGGUUAGGGGGUUAGGGUUAUGUACAUUUCUCUAAAGGUGUCUACUAAGAUUUUCUUUACUUGCUCAAAUUUUAAAACUGAUUUUAAAAAUACUUGUGGCAUUAUUGUGUUCACUAAGUUGAAUGAAGAUCUCGGGGAGAACCUACUCUAUUUUUACACUGUACUGACUUCUUAAACAGUUG